UGCCAUCAGCCGCGGUAAUACUGAAGGUGCAAGCGUUAAUCGGAAUCACUGGGCGUAAAGCGCUCGUAGGCGGUUUCUUAAGUCUGAUGUGAAAGCCCACGGCUCAACCGUGGAGGGUCAUUGGAAACUGGGGAACUUGAGUGCAGAAGAGGAGAGUGGAAUUCCACGUGUAGCGGUGAAAUGCGUAGAGAUGUGGAGGAACACCAGUGGCGAAGGCGACUCUCUGGUCUGUAACUGACGCUGAGGCGCGAAAGCGUGGGGAGCGAACAGGAUUAGAUA
This 279-nucleotide ribosomal RNA is filed under the name uncultured bacterium. Its description in RNAcentral is "partial 16S ribosomal RNA". It matches the Rfam family "Bacterial small subunit ribosomal RNA", at positions 506 to 784 of the family's 1533-position model. The record is from RNAcentral.